AAAUGUACCUGAAUUAUUUCUAGACCGACCUCUUCUAUCCUAGACCAUCUUUGGCUUGUUUGACAAGUACCAAGAAUUCUGUGUCCCUCAAUGGAAUUCAUUCUGUACUGAGUACUUUUUUAGCCACGUCAUAUUCUUGUGGAACGAGGUCCAACAGUCUAGUCCCAAGGUCCUGCAUCUUAGUUAUCCAGUCUGACCCUGUUGCCAUAACCGGAUGGAACUGAAAACAGUCUUUCAACAAACUGAAAAAAGACAUAUUUAAAACCUGCAUAGCCCGUGCUCUCCAAGUGAAUAGACAUUUUCAGUAGGCUUCCAAGAAAGAAGAAGGCCUUGUUACUCUCCCCAGGGAGCUGUAGGCUAACCAGGGAAAUAAGACAUGAAAUCAAGAGUCAAAGUACAAGUCUUUAUAAUAAAAUGCUAAAUUAUGAAGUCAAUUUUAUUCAGAAGAAAUUGAUAUUAUUGUUAGAAUACCCAGGAAAGAGCAUUUUAUUGACCGUCUGCAGCCAAAAUGCCACCCAAGUAGUACAGUAUUCACCAUUCUCAGGAGGAUGAAGGAAUGUGCCCAGUUCGCACCGUGGUUAAGUGGCAGAGCUGAGCAGGAGCAACGUCUCUGCUGGGGCUGCAGGAGAAUCCAUAUCAGGAAGCCCGGCCUGCGUGAGUCACUCAUCAUCCCAGCCAACACAUUCUGAAUGGAGACGCGCCGUCCACACAUCACUGCUGAGCCUUUGAAGCACUCCAGCUUGGCAAUAAGCACACAAAGUUUCGUAAUAUUGGCGUAAACCUGGUACGAUCAGUGACUGCUCAUGGCCUUGAAUAAUCACUGCAAAACCAUUCGGGUGAAGACACAGUGACUCAGCACCCUCCCUUCCCACCUCAGGACUUUCCGGAGUCCAAGGAGAAAGAAGGCCAGCUGAGCACUCUGAUGGCUGCGCCACUGAGUCUCACUCCCCUCUGUCGUCCCAGUCCGCAGUGCUAUUGGCAGGAAGGA
Molecule: long non-coding RNA, 988 nt
Organism: Heterocephalus glaber (naked mole-rat)
Lineage: Eukaryota; Metazoa; Chordata; Mammalia; Rodentia; Bathyergidae
Source: RefSeq, a predicted model, not a curated record